This 1425-nucleotide ribosomal RNA is filed under the name Capra sibirica (Siberian ibex). RNAcentral describes it as "partial 16S ribosomal RNA". It matches the Rfam family "Bacterial large subunit ribosomal RNA", at positions 383 to 2625 of the family's 2925-position model. Lineage: Eukaryota; Metazoa; Chordata; Mammalia; Artiodactyla; Bovidae. The record is from RNAcentral.
ACUAUAUCUAGCCCAAUCCCCUCCCCCAUCUAAAUUACCAACACAGUCUAAAACAAAACAUUUACCCUAAUUAAAGUAUAGGAGAUAGAAAUUCUAAAUAUGGCGCUAUAGAGAAAGUACCGUAAGGGAAUGAUGAAAGAAAAAGAAUUAAAGUACAAAAAAGCAAAGAUUAACCCUUGUACCUUUUGCAUAAUGAAUUAACGAGCAAAAAACUUAACAAAAGGAAUUUUAGCUAAGUAACCCGAAACCAGACGAGCUACUUAUGGGCAGUUUAUCAGAACUAACUCAUCUAUGUGGCAAAAUAGUGAGGAGACCCAUAAGUAGAGGUGACAUGCCUAACGAGCCUGGUGAUAGCUGGUUGUCCAGACAAUGACUUUUAGUUCAGCUUUAAAAAUACCAAAAAUAUACCUAAAUCUUACUGUAUUUUUAAAAGUUAGUCUAAAAAGGUUCAGCCUUUUAGAAAUGGAUACAACCUUCACUAGAGAGUAAGACUUUACAACACCAUAGUAGGCCUAAAAGCAGCCAUCAAUUAAGAAAGCGUUAAAGCUCAACAAUAAAGAUAAAAAUAAUCCCAACAAUAGUGCAACUAACCCCUAGACCUAAUACUGGACCACUCUAUUGUUUAAUAGAAGCAAUAAUGUUAAUAUGAGUAACAAGAAAUAUUUUUCUCCUGCACAAGUUUAAGUCAGUAUCUGAUAAUAUUCUGACUGUUAACAGUAAAUAAAAACAACCUAACGAUAAAUAAUUUAUUAAUUACACUGUUAACCCAACACAGGAGUGCACCCAGGAAAGAUUAAAAGAAGUAAAAGGAACUCGGCAAACACAAACCCCGCCUGUUUACCAAAAACAUCACCUCCAGCAUUUCCAGUAUUGGAGGCACUGCCUGCCCAGUGACUAGACGUUAAACGGCCGNGGUAUCCUGACCGUGCAAAGGUAGCAUAAUCAUUUGUUCUCUAAAUAAGGACUUGUAUGAACGGCCACACGAGGGUUUUACUGUCUCUUACUUCCAAUCAGUGAAAUUGACCUCCCGUGAAGAGGCGGGAAUGAAUUAACAAGACGAGAAGACCCUAUGGAGCUUUAACUAACUAGUCCAAAAGAAAUAAAUCCAACCACUAAGGGAUAAUAACAUUCUUUAUGGACUAGCAGUUUUGGUUGGGGUGACCUCGGAGAACAAGAGAUCCUCCGAACGAUUUUAAAGACUAGACUUACAAGUCAAACCAAAUUACGCUUAUUGAUCCAAAAAACUUGAUCAACGGAACAAGUUACCCUAGGGAUAACAGCGCAAUCCUAUUCAAGAGUCCAUAUCGACAAUAGGGUUUACGACCUCGAUGUUGGAUCAGGACAUCCUGAUGGUGCAACCGCUAUCAAAGGUUCGUUUGUUCAACGAUUAAAGUCCUACGUGAUCUGAGUUCAGAGCGGAGCAAU